Sorex fumeus (smoky shrew) is the source of this 107-nucleotide small nuclear RNA. Lineage: Eukaryota; Metazoa; Chordata; Mammalia; Eulipotyphla; Soricidae. The record is from RefSeq and is a predicted model, not a curated record.
GCUGUGAUAUCGCUCCAGCAUAUACUAAAAUUGGAAUGAUACAGAGAAGAUUAGCAUGGCCCCUGUGCAAGGACGACAUGCAAAUAAAAAACAUAAUCAGGAAAUAA